RNAcentral lists this ribosomal RNA (468 nucleotides) under uncultured bacterium. RNAcentral describes it as "partial 16S ribosomal RNA". It matches the Rfam family "Bacterial small subunit ribosomal RNA", at positions 28 to 507 of the family's 1533-position model. The record is from RNAcentral.
GACGAACGCUGGCGGCGUGCUUAACACAUGCAAGUCGAACGGAAAGGCCCUGCUUUUGUGGGGUGCUCGAGUGGCGAACGGGUGAGUAACACGUGAGUAACCUGCCCUUGACUUUGGGAUAACUUCAGGAAACUGGGGCUAAUACCGGAUAGGAGCUCCUGCUGCAUGGUGGGGGUUGGAAAGUUUCGGCGGUUGGGGAUGGACUCGCGGCUUAUCAGCUUGUUGGUGGGGUAGUGGCUUACCAAGGGUUUGACGGGUAGCCGGCCUGAGAGGGUGAACGGCCACAUUGGGACUGAGAUACGGCCCAGACUCCUACGGGAGGCAGCAGUCGGGAAUAUUGCACAAUGGGCGGGAGCCUGAGGCAGCAACGCCGCGUGCGGGAUGACGGCCUUCGGGUUAUAAACCGCUUUCGCCUGUGACGAAGCGUGAGUGACGGUAAUGGGUAAAGAAGCACCGGCUAACUACGUG